GGAUGGAUGGAUGGACAACUAGCUGGGCACAUCAGAAUCAAUUUAAGAGCACACACACACGUGUGUGCUUACUGUACACCAGGCCCCAUGCUCAGCCUGCAAUGCAGGGCGUUCACUAAAUCCUCCUGGCCACCGCCUGAGAGAGUAACUAAUGCUGCUCUUUUUUCAAAGGACAAACCUGAGGCUCAGAGAGAUAACGUCACUGGCCCCAGGUCACACAGCCAGGAGGUGGAGGAGCCAAGAUCUGUUUGAUUCCAGAACCGAGGCUGCCUUCCUGGGCCAGUGGAGCACCCGGGACUCUGGCUUCUUGGGCGCUCCCCCUGUGAUUCUGAGGUGCAGCCUCGGCCGGAGCAGUGAGGUGUGGGGAGAGCGUCUGGUUUGGGGCGUUCAGGCUCCGGUACUGCCUCGCAGCCUGUUUCCCCAUGUGACACAGGGCGAUGGCAGCGCCUGCCCUGGGGGGUUCCGGAGCAUGGAGUGAUCUAAGUAGAGUGCCUGCGGGGCCGUAAGCACUGGGGGCCGUCCUGCGAGUGUGCUGGCGGCAGCAGCAUUGCCACUGGGCUGGGGGCCAAUGGCCGUCCUGCUCCUUCUCACAGCUCCCCUGGGUACAGGCAUGUCAGCCUCCUAGUUAAGAACUUGAGACAAGCUGGAGAAGACCUCUUGGGGCAUUCAAGAGCCACAGCAUCUGAGUGCAGACGCGACUCUGGAAAUACAUCUUGCAGGAGUACACGUGUCCACAGACGUGUGGCCAGGUGACCACUACCGUGCAAAAGCCAGGAAGCAAGCCUGAUCGUGCCAGCAAGUCAUCGGAUGCCGUUAUCUGGUGUAGAUGUGUUUCCUGGACCACUGACCACAUCCUUCAGAUGGGCCCUGGCACACAGCCUCCUGUGUGCUGACACCGCUGGGAGUAGGGACACUCUCAGGACCGCCCCAGCCUCCUGGAACUCCGAGCACAACGGGGAAGACAGAUAAUGAUCAGAGAUCAGUGCACAAACAUCAUCACAGACUGUGAUCAGCACUGAGAAGGAAAGAUACCUGUGCUUCAAGAAUGUGCACCUACACGAAGCAAUGGAAAUAGGCUGCGAGGAUAUACUCCAAGAUGUUAAAGGGGUAGUAACAUUGCAGGUGAUUCUGCCUGUUUCCUUUUCUUUUGCUUGUCUGUCCGUUCUAAUUUUUCUUUCUUUCUUUUUAGAAUGUCAUGCUUUAUAAUUGAGUGAAUUAAAAACACAAACAAACCCACAAUGAAUAGAGGGGUUGGAAAUCAUGUGUCCAAAGAUGAUUUAACGCCAGGAAAGAAAGGAAGGACACGCAAGAAACUGCUCACUGUGUUGGCUUCCGGGCAGGGGAGCCAGAGGCUGGGGAGGGAAAGAGCUUCGCUUCUCACUGGACACCCUUCGAACCUUUCCGACGUGUGUGCAUUCAAAAAACAAUAAAAAUAAAAUAAG
Molecule: long non-coding RNA, 1442 nt
Organism: Myotis brandtii (Brandt's bat)
Lineage: Eukaryota; Metazoa; Chordata; Mammalia; Chiroptera; Vespertilionidae
Exons: 3
Source: RefSeq, a predicted model, not a curated record